GAAUUAUAGUGAGUUCUAAUAAUUUUAAUUAAUUUCGUCCAAGUUACAAUUGAACAAAUUAUUUAAAGCAACCACAAAAAGUCUUCAGUUUGUUACUGCAACUCUAGAUGGCAAUACGUGCACAGUAUGAAAAUUAAUCAAAUCAACAGUUUUAUUAAACAAACUUUCAAGUGUUUAACAAUUCGAGUGAUGUAUUAAAAUUAACAGGAAACUUUUACUCCAACUCAGGAUGAGCGAUAAUACACGGAUCAUAGUUACCUAAUCUGCUGUUAAAUAACUGGAAUUACGUUGGAGCAAGCAAUGCAAUGGCAAAUGACUAACCGUCAAUCUCCCCAUCAAGUACUGGCAAGUAUUUGGUUUUGAUUAUGUUAUAUCUUAGAUAAUCAUUAAACCUACUUAUUCAUCUCUAAGCAAUAUCAUUAUUUGUCAACACAAAGAUUUCCUGAGAAAUGUCAUGUCUACUUGAAAUGCGCGUUCAUCAAGAUAACUAUCUAAGAUUUAGAUGGCUGGUGUGAAUAAGAAACAAAACGGUAAAAAGAGAACCGCAAAAAUCAAUCAACCUUGAUUGUUUAUUGAGAGCCUGUAAACAAUGAUGUUUAAGCAAAGUAUAAACCAACUAGGUUCAGGCUUUAACCACCAUCAUGGCUUUCAUAAUGACCACCAUCUCAUCAGGCCUACCAUUAUUUUCAUCUUCAAUGUUGAUUGCUCCGGAUCAAUUAUAUCAAAGAGCUGUAGCUGUCAUACCAUCGACUGUUCAAUUAAAACCUUUGAAGAAGACGCCAAUGACUCUUUCAAGUUAAUUGACUUGAUAAAGAUUGUAAGCUUUUCCAAUUGAUUGAAUUUUGUCAAAUGAUAAUCAAGUGAAUCAGGAUGAAAACAAAAUCAAGUCAACCAUGUACAUUGAUACCAAUCAUUUCUCCUUUUUUAAUUUACUGGAAAUCCCGUUAAUACCAACAAGUUUCUGGUUCAUUUAAAGCCUGUUCUUGCUUCAUGCCAACAUGGAAAACUUCUUAACGAUAAAGCCUCACUCAUCCCAUGAAUAUCGAGUGUUUGCAAAGGCAAUACAUACGAUUAUUGACCGGUAAAGGUAAACGGAAAAGAUAAAUGAUUCACUUGACGGAUGAAACCAGAAAUGAUAAAGGACCAACAAUGUCAACCUAAAUAAUAUAUUCAAAGAAGUGUUUUGUUUGGAAAUGUUCAUGAAUAUUCAAUUUAAUCUGAUAAAGAGACCAAAAUACCGAAGGAAAAUGGAAAAGCCAGGAAUAAAGAAAUCAAAGGAAACAAGUUCCAUCAAAUUGGCAGUUGAGUUGAUUAGAUAAUUAACAGCCGUACAUGUGAAAUGUCGAUAAUUGAUUGUCGCAAUUUUCACAUGAAACUUGUCAAACAUUGAUCAAGAUUAAGGCACAUUACAAUGAUAAGAGUGUUUAAAAUUAUUGCCAUUUCAAGUUAUUUAAAUAUUGCAAUCAAUAUGCUUUGGAUAUUGGCCUUUUGAAGGAAAAACAUUUAUUCAUUGUAAAAAAAGCUUUCAUUGAUGUUAACCAAGAAAAGGCAACAAUUUCACUGUGAAUAUAUUAACACACCAUUUUACAGUUUAUCAUCCUGACACAAGGAUGACUCAUUGAAUACUGAUGAGAGAAAGAUGAAGUUUAAAGGAAAGCCAAAAAUGAUGAUCAAGAAGAUGGCUAAAGCAGCAAGGAAGAGAAACCAAAGGAAAAAAAGAGAGGAGAAAGUGAAUAAAACUCCCAAUUGGUAUUGAGGGGUCAAGAGUAAUAAAAGAUGCUCUUCUUUGUUCCAGUAAAAAGACUCGUCAUUAUCAUCAUAACUGAACCUUUUAUCCUCUUCUCUCAUCUUUAUGUCCAUUAGACCGAAGUAACUGUAAUUUAAACUUGUUAGUUAAAUUGACGAGGUAACUUUUCCUAAAUUAUGCCUUUGAACCACACAGAGAAUCAUGAUUGCUUAUCAUCACCAUCAACCUAAUGAUUACAAUUUUUAUUACUUAUGUUGUUGUUGUUUUGUAUUGAAAAACAUACCAAAAAACACAUUCAAGUAAAUUGUAAUUUGAGGUUCCUAAUUUACACUGGUUAUGAUUAUCACACAGAGCCAGGCAAAAUUACAUUAAACCAGACAAUGAAUCAUAAUGAAAGGCAGCAAAAAAAACACACUGUAAUAUUAAUGAUAAUCAAAGGUAAAUUUAAUAUCCGGUUAACUGUAAUAUUAUCAUUGUACUAAUGAUUACAUUUCAUUAUAGCAGCUAAAAAAACACAAGAGUCAGAAAAAAAAGACCAUAAAAACGGACCUUUUUUACCCUUUACAUUAUUACCUCAACAUUAUUAUUCAGGUUCGACUGUACAAUCGGAGAGGAAGACCAACAGUGGGAAACGACACAAAGCAGGAUAAUUAUCAUCAUCAAACCAUUUGCAAGUUUAAUUAAAUUUCAAGUAUGGCAACAGUUAAUGACAUUUUAAGGAACCAUUUACAACAGCAACAUUCAAUGUAAUACAAUCGAUUGUCAAAUCGAUCUCAUGACUCAUCCAGUCUUUUCAUCCAAAUGUUCAUCUCUUCUUCCUGCUGAUGCAUUAAUAUCCCAAAGAGUAUGAGACUUGAUUCGCAUGUUCAUCAAAAUUCCUGCCUCCUUCACAAUCUUCAGCUUCCGUUGGCAGUCUUGUCCAUCAUCCUCUUUCCUCUUUCCACUUUCAUUUUCAUCCCUUUCCCUUGUUUAGACAAGAUGAAGAUAAAGAUGAUGGAAUCAUCACGCUCUUUCCUGAUUCUGACUCAUUUCUUAUCACCAUUAUCAUCAGUCUGUUUAUCUUCAAUUGACGUUUUCAUUAUAAUUCACAUUUCGCCAAGAAACGAGAAAAUCUUCCCUCUAUCAUGAUGAUGAUGAUAACAAACCCAAUAAUCCGUCAAGAAACCAACAACAAAAGUCUCAACGUUAAGCCCAAUAAGGAAAGGUUGUUGAGGCGCGUGCAAAGAGUGAAGUUACUUUCAAAGUUAAGGUCAAUUGAGUUGAAUCAAAAAUGAGUUUCAUAGGAUGAUGAUGAUGAUGAUGCAAAAAGAGAGAGACUUUUCAUCUCAACAAGUAACACCGGAAUGUUGUCAAACAGGUUUUUACCUUUUCUUCUCAUAGAUUUUACCUUAACCAUUUCCACUUUUUUCAUCAUCAUCAUCAUCUUGACGCAACUUCCACAUCAUCAUUUUACCUUUUUUUUAAUACUUUUAUCUUCAUCUUCAGUCUUUGCCUUGUUUUUUUGGCUUCUUUUGUCCAGUUCUAGAAUUGUAUUCUAAGUGAUUUAAAGCUCACAGACAGGUAACACAUUUAAGACUAGACAAUGCAAUCAGGUUUAUCCUGUCCAAAUGUAAUCAUUUUCAUUAAUAUUUGCACUUUUUUCACUUCUUUUUUUGUACGAUAAAUCUUCUCUUCCUUUUAUUCAAAAGAUAACCUUUUCAUUAUCCUGUCAUUUACCUGUUAAACUGACUCAAAAUCAACAGUCGUUUUUUUGUCUACCUUAAUGUGAUACAUUAACACGCAAUAUCAAUAUUUUUAAUUUACAGACAACCUGAGCCUUUUAUUAACAUUGCCAUUUGUUAUACAAUUUGUUCAAUAACAAUCUACUGUUUGGACAGUCGAUUAAACAAUCAAUUGAUGAGGUAAAGGAAAAAGGUAAACAAAUAAGGAAACAACUUUUUUUGUUCAAUGUUCACCUUUCCAAAGGCUUUUAUAUUUUUCACUGUAAAAGGCAUUGUAGCAAAGGUAAACAAUACAGUUUCAUUAAGCUGUAAAAUGCUGCUAAUGAUGCCUCAACUCUUUCAGCUUUUAAUUGUUGAUACUUUUUUUACCUUUCAUUAUUAAAUUGUUUACUCGCAAGCUUUGUUACAGCAACACUUGCCUAUGAAAUUCAAUUGUAAAUCAACUUUACAGCAAUAAUAAUUGGGUUAUUACAGGCGAUCAACUUUAUUUGAAAAAAAGAUGUAAAUUUAUUUACUCAAUCGUCUAAUUUUGUCCCAAUGUGAAUGACUUUUAAUGUUUACUUGUGAACACAAUUAAAUUGGAAACAAAAAAA
Molecule: non-coding RNA, 4061 nt
Organism: Tetranychus urticae (two-spotted spider mite)
Lineage: Eukaryota; Metazoa; Arthropoda; Arachnida; Trombidiformes; Tetranychidae
Source: RefSeq, a predicted model, not a curated record